AUUGAACGCUGGCGGCAUGCUUUACACAUGCAAGUCGAACGGCAGCACGGGGGUAACCCUGGUGGCGAGUGGCGAACGGGUGAGUAAUGCAUCGGAACAUAUCUUAAAGUGGGGAAUAACGCAUCGAAAGGUGUGCUAAUACUCCAUAUACUCUAAGGAGGAAAGCGGGGGAUCGAAAGACCUCGUGCUUUAAGGGUGGCCGAUGUCUGAUUAGCUAGUUGGUGGGGUAAAGGCUUACCAAGGCGACGAUCAGUAGCUGGUCUGAGAGGACGAUCAGCCACACUGGGACUGAGACACGGCCCAGACUCCUACGGGAGGCAGCAGUGGGGAAUUUUGGACAAUGGGCGAAAGCCUGAUCCAGCCAUGCCGCGUGAGUGAAGAAGGCCUCGGU
Molecule: ribosomal RNA, 391 nt
Filed under: uncultured bacterium
Lineage: Bacteria
Description: bacterial SSU rRNA
Rfam family: Bacterial small subunit ribosomal RNA
Source: RNAcentral